AGCGAACGCUGGCGGCAGGCUUAACACAUGCAAGUCGAGCGGGCACUUUCGGGUGUCAGCGGCGGACGGGUGAGUAACGCGUGGGAACGUGCCCUCUGGUUCGGAAUAACUCAGGGAAACUUGAGCUAAUACCGGAUACGCCCUUUUGGGGAAAGGCUUGCUGCCGGAGGAUCGGCCCGCGUCUGAUUAGCUAGUUGGUGAGGUAACGGCUCACCAAGGUGACGAUCAGUAGCUGGUCUGAGAGGAUGAUCAGCCACACUGGGACUGAGACACGGCCCAGACUCCUACGGGAGGCAGCAGUGGGGAAUAUUGGACAAUGGGCGCAAGCCUGAUCCAGCCAUGCCGCGUGAGUGAUCAAGGCCUUAGGGUUGUAAAGCUCUUUUAUCCGGGACGAUAAUGACGGUACCGGAGGAAUAAGCCCCGGCUAACUUCGUG
RNAcentral lists this ribosomal RNA (435 nucleotides) under uncultured bacterium. RNAcentral describes it as "partial 16S ribosomal RNA". It matches the Rfam family "Bacterial small subunit ribosomal RNA", at positions 29 to 507 of the family's 1533-position model. The record is from RNAcentral.